Molecule: ribosomal RNA, 469 nt
Filed under: uncultured bacterium
Lineage: Bacteria
Description: partial 16S ribosomal RNA
Rfam family: Bacterial small subunit ribosomal RNA
Source: RNAcentral
GACGAACGCUGGCGGCGUGCUUAACACAUGCCAGUCGAACGGAAAGGCCCUGCUUGCAGGGUGCUCGAGUGGCGAACGGGUGAGUAACACGUGGGUGAUCUGCCCCUUACUUUGGGAUAAGCCUGGGAAACUGGGUCUAAUACUGGAUAGGACCAUGCUGUAGGUGGUGUGGUGGAAAGAUUAGUUUCGGUAAGGGAUGAGCUCGCGGCCUAUCAGCUUGUUGGUGGGGUAAUGGCCUACCAAGGCGUCGACGGGUAGCCGGCCUGAGAGGGUGGACGGCCACAUUGGGACUGAGAUACGGCCCAGACUCCUACGGGAGGCAGCAGUGGGGAAUAUUGCACAAUGAGCGCAAGCCUGAUGCAGCGACGCCGCGUGGGGGAUGACGGCCUUCGGGUUGUAAACUCCUUUCAGCCAUGACGAAGCCCUUGUGGUGACGGUAGUGGUAGAAGAAGCACCGGCUAACUACGUG